Molecule: non-coding RNA, 379 nt
Organism: Phaeobacter sp.
Lineage: Bacteria; Pseudomonadati; Pseudomonadota; Alphaproteobacteria; Rhodobacterales; Roseobacteraceae
Rfam family: Bacterial RNase P class A
About the family: Ribonuclease P (RNase P) is a ubiquitous endoribonuclease, found in archaea, bacteria and eukarya as well as chloroplasts and mitochondria. Its best characterised activity is the generation of mature 5'-ends of tRNAs by cleaving the 5'-leader elements of precursor-tRNAs. Cellular RNase Ps are ribonucleoproteins.
Source: Rfam
ACAGAGGGCUGGAUGGCCGCGGGGGCGCAAGCCCGCGAGGAAAGUCCGGACUCCACAAGGCAACGGUGCCGGGUAACGCCCGGCCGGGGAAACCCGAGGGAAAGCGCCACAGAGAACAGACCGCCACUGCUUGCAGGGGUAAGGGUGAAACGGUGGAGUAAGAGACCACCGCGCUGAUGGUAACAUCGGCGGCACGGCAAGCCCCACCGGGAGCAAUGCCAAAUAGGGAUCGCGCGUGGCCUUGGCCACAGGGGUGUCUUGCCCCGAGCAGAUCCGGGUUGGCAGCUAGAGGGGUUUCGGUAACGGAAUCCCAAGAUGAAUGGUCAUCCAGGAGAGGGAACUCUCUGGACAGAAUCCGGCUUAUAGGCCCUCUGUGCAU